UACGUAGGUGGCGAGCGUUGUCCGGAAUUACUGGGUGUAAAGGGCGUGUAGGCGGGGAUAUAAGUCAGAUGUGAAAUACCGUGGCUCAACCACGGGGCUGCAUCUGAAACUAUGUUUCUUGAGUGUCGGAGAGGAAAGUGGAAUUCCCAGUGUAGCGGUGAAAUGCGUAGAUAUUGGGAGGAACACCAGUGGCGAAGGCGACUUUCUGGACGAUAACUGACGCUGAGGCGCGAAAGCGUGGGGAG
RNAcentral lists this ribosomal RNA (245 nucleotides) under uncultured Oscillospiraceae bacterium. RNAcentral's name for it is "partial 16S ribosomal RNA". It matches the Rfam family "Bacterial small subunit ribosomal RNA", at positions 524 to 768 of the family's 1533-position model. Lineage: Bacteria; Bacillati; Bacillota; Clostridia; Eubacteriales; Oscillospiraceae. The record is from RNAcentral.